GACGAACGCUGGCGGCGUGCUUAACACAUGCAAGUCGAACGGAAAGGCCCUGCUUUUGUGGGGUGCUCGAGUGGCGAACGGGUGAGUAACACGUGAGUAACCUGCCCUUGACUUUGGGAUAACUUCAGGAAACUGGGGCUAAUACCGGAUAGGAGCUCCUGCUGCAUGGUGGGGGUUGGAAAGUUUCGGCGGUUGGGGAUGGACUCGCGGCUUAUCAGCUUGUUGGUGGGGUAGUGGCUUACCAAGGCUUUGACGGGUAGCCGGCCUGAGAGGGUGACCGGAGCCAGUGGGACUGAGGUCGGCCGCCGAGGCGUAUGGGCGGGAGUGGUGCGGAAGAUGGGCGAGGGGGGCGAGGCGGGAGUCAGCGGCGCCGGGGGCGGGAUGCGGUGUCGCGGUGUGUGAGCCGGCUUCGCUGUGGGCGGAGCGUGGGUGGGGGUAAAGAGGCCACAAGCACGGGCUAACUACGCGGAAGUCGCGGGGGAAUGAUGGUGAGACAGACGUAUGAGC
RNAcentral lists this ribosomal RNA (507 nucleotides) under uncultured bacterium. RNAcentral describes it as "partial 16S ribosomal RNA". The stretch from base 13 to 373 matches the Rfam family "Bacterial small subunit ribosomal RNA", at positions 40 to 399 of the family's 1533-position model. The record is from RNAcentral.